AAUUGCUGUUCCUCUUUCUCUAGGCUUGCAGAACAUCAUUUYUGCUGUAAAUAGCUUUUAGCGUGAAAGAAGAGCGCGUACCAGAUUGGUGUGCGGGAACCGCUCGGUCUAAAAUAGCUGGAAGAUGAACACGGUGCACGACAYGCGGACCGAGGCGCGGGAGCGGCCGAACCGGCGGACGGUGGACCAGCUGAGCCCGGAGCUCCGAGUGGAGAAGUACAUCCUGCUGAGCAUGGACGGGAAGCUGCUGGGACCGGAGCUGAGCCGGAUCCGGAGUGAGAUGGCCCUGCCCCUGGAGCGCCUGGACGCUGACCUGCCCCAGGACCUGCCCUCRGGCUACCUCUGGCGCCAGCGCCGCUCCUUGCCGACCUUCCCCCUCGCCCCUGGGAGCGGCGCCCAGAGCCCCGCGGACCUCAGGAGGAGCACGGACUUGCUCUGUGCCGGCCAGUUCCCCGCGGGGCUCAGCGACCUGGUGACAGGGAUGCAGGCCCCUGCCUCGCCGUGCUCGAGGAGCCGGGGUAGCCCACGGGCUCGGCCCCGCUCCGCCCUGGCAGCACAGGCCUCCCGCGGCCGUCCCACCACGGCGGCGGCAGCGGAGGAGGCUGCGGGCCGGGGCUGCCAGGAGCGGGAGGGCGGCAGGGAGUGAGGGGGGAGCCGGGCCCCUUGGCAAGGAGGCACCRUGGCGGGGCUGUAACGG
Molecule: long non-coding RNA, 697 nt
Organism: Apteryx rowi (Okarito brown kiwi)
Lineage: Eukaryota; Metazoa; Chordata; Aves; Apterygiformes; Apterygidae
Source: Ensembl